RNAcentral lists this transfer RNA (75 nucleotides) under Coprobacillus cateniformis. Its description in RNAcentral is "tRNA-Trp". It matches the Rfam family "tRNA". From Rfam's summary of the family: Transfer RNA (tRNA) molecules are approximately 80 nucleotides in length. The record is from RNAcentral. Lineage: Bacteria; Bacillati; Bacillota; Erysipelotrichia; Erysipelotrichales; Coprobacillaceae.
AUCUCUGUAGUGUAAAAGGGAACACAUUGGUCUCCAAAACCAAAACUUAAGGUUCGACUCCUUACAGAGGUGCCA